CGGCGGACGGGUGAGUAACACGUGGAUAACCUACCUAUAAGACUGGGAUAACUUCGGGAAACCGGAGCUAAUACCGGAUAAUAUAUUGAACCGCAUGGUUCAAUAGUGAAAGACGGUUUUGCUGUCACUUAUAGAUGGAUCCGCGCCGCAUUAGCUAGUUGGUAAGGUAACGGCCUACCAAGGCAACGAUGCGUAGCCGACCUGAGAGGGUGAUCGGCCACACUGGAACUGAGACACGGUCCAGACUCCUACGGGAGGCAGCAGCC
This 266-nucleotide ribosomal RNA is filed under the name uncultured Staphylococcus sp. Its description in RNAcentral is "partial 16S ribosomal RNA". It matches the Rfam family "Bacterial small subunit ribosomal RNA", at positions 96 to 355 of the family's 1533-position model. Lineage: Bacteria; Bacillati; Bacillota; Bacilli; Caryophanales; Staphylococcaceae. The record is from RNAcentral.